CACAUGGAGUGCGCCCGCAGCUCGCCAGUCGAUUGUCUGAGGUCUUUUUCUGGAGUCCUCAAACAUCACACAAUCUUCAGUGAAACCAUUCACACGCCAAUUAAUUUAAAUUCUAGCCAAACAAGCUGGAACCACACCUGCUGUUACAACACAUUCUACUCCUCUUAUACUUUGACUCACAGUUGUAAUGAUGGAGUAUGUUAAAGAGGAGAAUGAAGAAGAAUUGUGCACAAUGACAUAUGAUGAUGCUGAGGAAAAGAGAGAUGUGAUUGGAGUGACAGAGGACGGUCAAGAACACAGUGAGGACAAACAUCAAUAUCAUUAUCUCGUCACUGAAGAAAAUUCAUUCAGCUCCUCACAAACUGAUGAGAAUUCCCCUCAAAAGAGAACCGAAGCCAAACAUUCUUUUGCAUGCCCUAUUUGUGGCAAGAAUUUUUCACGCGAAGUGGAUCUUAAUGUUCACAUAAAGAUCCACGCUGGAGAGAGGCCGUACCUCUGCCCUCAGUGUGGAAAGGGUUACACACGUGAAAGGCAUCUUAAGGAACAUUUAAUAAUUCACACUGGCCAAAAGCCUUUCUCGUGCCCUCAUUGUAGAAAGAGAUUCAUACGUAAGCAGAGUCUUAAUAUUCAUAUAAGAAUUCACACUAGUGAUUGCCCUUACACUUGCCCUCAGUGUGAUAAGAGUUUCUCAUCCAAUUACCAUCUACAGACUCACUUACGAGUCCACACAGGAGAGAAACCUUAUACAUGCCCUCAGUGUGAGAAGAGUUUUACACAGCGAGGAAAUCUUUUGUAUCACAUACGAAUUCAUACAGGGGAGAGGCCUUACUUGUGCCAUUUGUGUGAUAAGGGUUUCACUCACGCACAAAAUCUGAAACUUCAUCUGUGGUGUCACUUGAAAGGGCGAAAGGCUGUUUAAAUAUCUCUUUAAUAUCAAAGAGUAGCGGGGGGCACAGUGGCGUAGUGGUUAGCACAUUCGCCUCACACCUCCAGGGUUGGGGGUUCGAUUCCCGCUUCCGACUUGUGUGUGUGGAGUUUGCAUGUUCUCCCCGUGCCUCGGGGGUUUCCUCCGGGUACUCCGGUUUCCUCCCCUGGUCCAAAGACAUGCAUGGUAGGUUGAUUGGCAUCUCUGGAAAAAUUGUCCGUAGGGUGUGAGUGCGUGAGU
Long non-coding RNA from Triplophysa dalaica, 1165 nucleotides. RefSeq lists it as uncharacterized. Lineage: Eukaryota; Metazoa; Chordata; Actinopteri; Cypriniformes; Nemacheilidae. The transcript has 3 exons. The record is from RefSeq and is a predicted model, not a curated record.